UUGGAUUAUAUAUAUUUUUCCCCCUGCAGUUAUCUAGCAUGGGUGGAAAAGGCUUCAUUUGAUGUGAUGGUACUGUAUCAAAGUGCAGCCAUCCUGAGGCUAAUUGAAAGCAGCCCAGAGCAGGAAGGCAUGUAAGUUUUCUAUGUUUUCCAGCAGGCUGUAGAGCACAUAGACACAGCUGAAGAAACAGCACUCCAAAGCAACCAGAAAAAGAAACUCAUCAUCCCAGAUGUGCUUCCAGAUGGGUUACUGGCCUCAAAUGCUUUAAGCCUCAAAUGCAUAGACUCCUGUUAUCACGCAACUCCAAGUAAACAGAAAGGAAAUACCCAAGCAUGUCACAGGCAAAUAUUUAUCACAAUGUCCAUUAUCUACAAAGCUGCAGAUGAUGAGAAGUUUUGGAUGAAGAACAGCGGGUAUACAGGUCAGAGCCAGAUACAUUCUUUAAAAUGCAUGAAGUGUAAUAUAGAGAAACAAUUACAGGUUGCUUGCAAAAUCACAUUCUUUAGCCUCAGAACACUUAAUGCAACACAAACGCUAAAGAAACAGGGUGCAGUUGUGUAGAAC
Molecule: long non-coding RNA, 564 nt
Organism: Ictalurus punctatus (channel catfish)
Lineage: Eukaryota; Metazoa; Chordata; Actinopteri; Siluriformes; Ictaluridae
Source: Ensembl